This 232-nucleotide ribosomal RNA is filed under the name uncultured bacterium. RNAcentral describes it as "partial 16S ribosomal RNA". It matches the Rfam family "Bacterial small subunit ribosomal RNA", at positions 100 to 334 of the family's 1533-position model. The record is from RNAcentral.
CGGGACGGGUGAGUAAUGUCUGGGAAACUGCCUGAUGGAGGGGGAUAACUACUGGAAACGGUAGCUAAUACCGCAUAACGUUGCAAGACCAAAGAGGGGACCUUAGGGCCUCUUGCCAUCGGAUGUGCCCAGAUGGGAUUAGCUAGUAGGUGGGGUAAAGGCUCACCUAGGCGACGAUCCCUAGCUGGUCUGAGAGGAUGACCAGCCACACUGGAACUGAGACACGGUCCAG